GUGGGGGAUAUUGCACAAUGGGGGAAACCCUGAUGCAGCGACGCCGCGUGAAGGAAGACGUACUUCGGUAUGUAAACUUCUAUCAGCAGGGAAGAAGAUGACGGUACCUGACUAAGAAGCCCCGGCUAACUACGUGCCAGCAGCCGCGGUAAUACGUAAGGGGCAAGCGUUAUCCGGAUUUACUGGGUGUAAAGGGAGCGUAGACGGUGAAGCAAGUCUGAUGUGAAAACCCGGGGCUCAACUCCGGGAUUGCAUUGGAAACUGUUUUACUUGAGUGCUGGAGGGGCAAGCGGAAUUCCUGGUGUAGCGGUGAAAUGCGUAGAUAUCAGGAAGAACACCGGUGGCGAAGGCGGCUUGCUGGACAGUAACUGACGUUGAGGCUCGAAAGCGUGGGGAGCAAACAGGAUUAGAAACCCCGGUAGUCC
Molecule: ribosomal RNA, 425 nt
Filed under: uncultured bacterium
Lineage: Bacteria
Description: partial 16S ribosomal RNA
Rfam family: Bacterial small subunit ribosomal RNA
Source: RNAcentral